CUGUUAUGCUAAAUCUGGCCAAAGAUAAGUAUUGUCCACCAGAAAAAUGCCUCUGCCACUUGGAAUUUCUGUGCUAACUGCGGCCAGAGCGUUUAACAACUAAUCUACAGUGGCAUAGGAAAAUGGCAAAAAUCUCCUAAAGUGCAAUAGAUUUUUUCAAGUGUAUUGUGCCUUGUUCUAAAACUUUUAUUAAGUAGGUGCACUUGACAGUAUUGAGGUCAUUUGUUAUGGUGCUAUUUCAAGUCUAGGUUUAGGCCCUUGUACAUUUUGCCCAUAACUUUUUACAAAAUACUUCUUUUAUUGCACAUUCAGAGAAUUUUAUAUAUGUCUUGUGUGCGUGUCCUUAACUUCCAAUCUUAUUUUGUCUCUUGGAGAUUGAACGCAGCUUGUUUAAGGAGAAGGAAAUAGAUUCUAAAACUUAUUUGGGACCAUGGGAAUGAUAGCUGGGAAGAAAACUAUUUGCACACGACAGAUUUCUAGAUACUUUUUGCUGCUAGUUUUGUGUAAUAUUUAUUGAACAUUUUUGACAAAUAUUUAUUUUUGUAAGCCUAAAAGUGAUUCUUUGAAAGUUUAAAGAAACUUGACCAAAAGACAGUACAAAAACACUGGCACUUGAAUGUUGAAUGUCACCGUAUGCGUGAAAUUAUAUAUUUCGGGGUAGUGUGAGCUUUUAAUGUUUAAGUCAUAUUAAACUCUUAAGUCAAAUUAAGCAGACCCGGCAUUGGCAGUAUAGCCAUAACUUUCUGAUAGUAAAACAAAAAUUGGCAACUUAAAAUUAAACAUGCCAAGGUUUUGAUACACUUGUCUUAAGAUAUUUAUGAAACACUUCUAAACACUGAUGUGAAGUGUCCAGAUUCUCAGAUGUUUGUUGCGUGAGUUUUGUUUAGUUGUGUGUUUUUUUUUUUUUUCAGUGAAUGUCUGGCACAUUGCAAUCCUCAAACAUGUGGUUAUCUUUGUUGUAUUGGCAUAAUCAGUGACUUGUGCAUUUUAGCAAGUUUUAUCAGCCAGCAAUAUUUUCAGUUCAGAAUUGCUUAUUGUAUUAGUUUAGAUGCUAGCACUGCAUGUGCUGUGCAUAUUCUUGAUUUUAUUAAAAUAAAAAAGUUGAACUGCACAGUCUAUUCAUUUGUGAAGCGUCACUCCUGGUUUCUGAGCUCUGUAGCCCCAGCAGUCUCAUUCACGUGCAGCUCUGGAAGCAGGUGACUCUAGUGUGGCACAUGUCAGUGUGGUGGCAGAUGGCAGCCAGGCUCAGGGCUGUAGCUGGAAUAACCUAAAAUGGCCUGUGCCCCACAGUGCAGGGCUACUGUCGAGUGUCAGAGGUGGGACAGACAAAAACCACCUGCGUUUGUUCAUUAGGGGGACCAAGUCAGGCUGUAACAACCUCAUUAAACCUUGUGGAGUUGGGCCUGGUUCCUCAGCCCCUGACUGCUCAUCUCACAGUUGUCCCUCUGAGUUUCACAGGAGUGCCUUGUAGAGAGCCUUAAGUUUUGAGGUCAUGCUUGUUCAUUGUUCCUAGGUAUUGAAAAGCCAAAAUGAGGUGGAAUAUUGGAAUAUCCAGGGGAGUGGAGUGGAAGGAAUAGAUUCAGGUGUUUCCAGUUUCUUUGAAGUGAGAUAAAUUUACUCCAUUUGAGAGAAAGUGGUUUAGGAAUAGCCUGGGUUUUGAGUUUGGUGCUGAAAUGAGUGUAGAAACUUGAGGUUUUCUGGUGAGUAAGGAAGAGGGUGGGGGAGGGAAGAAAGUAAUGCCUGGGACCCCUGAUCCAUGGAAGUGUAAUGCAGGUGAAUGGCAUGGGGUAAGGACUGGUAAAAUGCGAUGUGCCCCUGCAGUCCUGGAUCCAUAUUGGAAAUAAAAACCACCCCACCAAUCCA
RNAcentral lists this long non-coding RNA (1863 nucleotides) under Junco hyemalis (dark-eyed junco). RNAcentral's name for it is "lncRNA (ENSJHYG00000012722.1)". The record is from RNAcentral. Lineage: Eukaryota; Metazoa; Chordata; Aves; Passeriformes; Passerellidae.